UGGGGAAUCUUGGACAAUGGGCGCAAGCCUGAUCCAGCCAUGCCGCGUGAGUGAAGAAGGCCUUCGGGUUGUAAAGCUCUUUUGUCAGGGACGAUAAUGACGGUACCUGAAGAAUAAGCCCCGGCAAACUUCGUGCCAGCAGCCGCGGUAAUACGAAGGGGGCUAGCGUUGUUCGGAAUUACUGGGCGUAAAGCGCACGUAGGCUGAUUGUUAAGUCAGGGGUGAAAUCCCAGAGCUCAACUCUGGAACUGCCCUUGAUACUGGCAAUCUCGAGUCCGGAAGAGGUUAGUGGAAUUCCCAGUGUAGAGGUGAAAUUCGUAGAUAUUAGGAAGAACACCGGUGGCGAAGGCGGCUCACUGGAUCGGUACUGACGCUGAGGUGCGAAAGCGUGGGGAGCAAACAGGAUUAGAUACCCCCGUAGUCCCUGAGCGGGCUGGCAAGGCGCAU
Molecule: ribosomal RNA, 447 nt
Filed under: uncultured bacterium
Lineage: Bacteria
Description: bacterial SSU rRNA
Rfam family: Bacterial small subunit ribosomal RNA
Source: RNAcentral